UGCCAGCCGCCGCGGUAACACGGGGGGCGCAAGCGUUAUUCGGAAUUAUUGGGCGUAAAGAGCAUGUAGGCGGACUGUUAAGUCUGAUGUGAAAGCCCGGGGCUCAACCCCGGAAGUGCAUUGGAUACUGGCAGCCUUGAGUAUGGGAGAGGAAAGUGGAAUUCCGAGUGUAGGAGUGAAAUCCGUAGAUAUUCGGAGGAACACCAGUGGCGAAGGCGGCUUUCUGGACCAAUACUGACGCUGAGGUGCGAAAGCGUGGGGAGCAGACAGAAUUAGAUA
Molecule: ribosomal RNA, 279 nt
Filed under: uncultured bacterium
Lineage: Bacteria
Description: partial 16S ribosomal RNA
Rfam family: Bacterial small subunit ribosomal RNA
Source: RNAcentral